GGCGUCUUCGGCGUCCGCAUUGUAAUCUCAAGAAGUGUUUUCCGCUUCGGACCAUGCCUAAGUCCCUUGGAAAAGGGCAUCAUAGAGGGUGAUAAUCCCGUACAUGGCAUGGAGCGCCCGAAGCUUUGUGAUACGCUUUCUACGAGUCGAGUUGUUUGGGAAUGCAGCUCAAAAUGGGUGGUAAAUGCCAUCUAAGGCUAAAUAUUGGGGAGAGACCGAUAGCGAACAAGUACAGUGAUGGAAAGAUGAAAAGAACUUUGAAAAGAGAGUUAAACAGUACGUGAAAUUGCCAAAAGGGAAGGGUAGGAGGUCAGAGAUGCGUCUUGGGAUUCAGCCUUGCUUUUGCAUGGUGUUUUUCCCAAGUUGCAGGCCAACGUCGGUUUUGGGCACUGGAGAAGGGUAGGAGGAACGUGGCACCUCUCGGGGUGUGUUAUAGCCUCCUACUGGAUACAGCGACCGAGACCGAGGAACGCAGCGUACUCGUAAGAGCGGGCCUUUUGGCACCUUUACGCUUAGGGCGUUGGCAUAAUGGCCCUCUACCACC
This 544-nucleotide ribosomal RNA is filed under the name Ustilago sp. DMKU-SP323. RNAcentral's name for it is "LSU rRNA". It matches the Rfam family "Eukaryotic large subunit ribosomal RNA", at positions 124 to 649 of the family's 3401-position model. The record is from RNAcentral. Lineage: Eukaryota; Fungi; Basidiomycota; Ustilaginomycetes; Ustilaginales; Ustilaginaceae.